AUUGAACGCUGGCGGCAUGCCUUACACAUGCAAGUCGAACGGCAGCAUGAUCUAGCUUGCUAGAUUGAUGGCGAGUGGCGCACGGGUGAGUAAUACAUCUGAACGUGCCCUGUAGUGGGGGAUAACUAGUCGAAAGAUUAGCUAAUACCGCAUACGUCCUGAGGGUGAAAGUGGGGGACCGCAAGGCCUCCUGCUUUAGGAGCGGCCGAUGUCUGAUUAGCUAGUUGGUGAGGUAAAGGCUCACCAAGGCGACGAUCAGUAGCUGGUCUGAGAGGACGAUCAGCCACACUGGGACUGAGACACGGCCCAGACUCCUACGGGAGGCAGCAGUGGGGAAUUUUGGACAAUGGGCGAAAGCCUGAUCCAGCAAUGCCGCGUGUGUGAAGAAGGCCUUCGGGUUGUAAAGCACUUUUGUCCGGAAAGAAAUGGCUCUGGUUAAUACCUGGGGUCGAUGACGGUACCGGAAGAAUAAGGACCGGCUAACUACGUG
This 490-nucleotide ribosomal RNA is filed under the name uncultured bacterium. RNAcentral's name for it is "partial 16S ribosomal RNA". It matches the Rfam family "Bacterial small subunit ribosomal RNA", at positions 30 to 507 of the family's 1533-position model. The record is from RNAcentral.